Molecule: non-coding RNA, 75 nt
Organism: Myotis davidii
Lineage: Eukaryota; Metazoa; Chordata; Mammalia; Chiroptera; Vespertilionidae
Source: Rfam
GGUGGUUCUUGGGUGACGUACCCCAGAAUUGGGCUUCCUCCUCUCUGGUUUCGGGUGCAUCACCUGAGAACCACA